UCCCAAAUACAGAAACCUAACCCAGUUACCCCUCACCCCAGCGCCGUUUCCCCCUUUCACUCACUCAGCUUCAUCCCUCAACCCUAACAACUGCAGCCUCACCUUCCCUUACGUAACAAACACACACAAUUAAACACACACACAGAGGCGAGCGCGAGCCAAGAUCCACGCCGGAGAGCUGCCGCUGCUGGGUUCUGUCGCCGCCAUCUUGCCCCUGCCAGCGAGCACGAAGAGUGAGAGAGAUUGGGCAGAGAGAGAAGACUCGCGAGGGAGUCACCGCGGGAAGGGGGUUCUCCGCCGCGUCCCGUUGCCUGCGUCGCCGCCAUCCACCCUCCCUACUGACAGUCGCCAUUCGCGAAGAAGAGAGGGAGCUCGCCUUGCCGUCAGGUCUGCCAUCAGAUCCGCCGUCCCUCGCCGUUUCAGUCACCGCCGUCAGUGCCCUGCUGUCGCCGCCGUCGUUGCUGGGAGCUGCACCGCCAUGACCAAACUCCUGCCGCUGAGAACCGCCACUGCUGCCGCCGGGAACGCCACUGCCAUUUCAGUAUCGUCGCUGGAGAUCUAGUUGCCGUCGCCAUCCUCACGAGCUGCCACCACGUCGUUGUUACUGAGUUGCAGCGCCGCUAUUGGCGCACCCUGCUGCUGCUGCGUCUCACCAAGCCGCUGCUAGAGGAAGAAGGCUCGCCAGUCCUACCUCUGCUUCUAGUUUAUGGAGUCUGAGAAGAAGCCACCGCCACUGUUGGAACUAUUGGUUGUGUUGCUCUGUCCUUGCUCUAGAUCCACUCUGAGCCAUUACCAUCACCGUUUGGCUGACGCUGAGACCUUUCACCAUCACUGGAGCUGCCCAGAAUCAUCAUGGUAGCUGCUAAGAGAGUAGAAUGGAUGUUAGAACUGCCAACGGAGCUGCUGGGUUUAGUGAUCGUGAGUUUCGACAUCGAGUGACACAGGUUCGAAGACUCCGUUUGAAGCUGCAGGCGAUCAUAGAUCUUAUUUAUGAGUUAAGUUUAUGACUCGAGUUAUUUUCAUAGAAGUUCCCUCGCUCUUAUUGCUUAACAUUUUUAUUUUAUACAGAGGGAUAAGAUUUGUAUGCGAGUUUUAUUUGAAAUCUUUUGUAUGACAGAUAUUAUUAUUAAUGAUUAUGUGAUUAUUAUUA
Molecule: long non-coding RNA, 1150 nt
Organism: Arachis duranensis
Lineage: Eukaryota; Viridiplantae; Streptophyta; Magnoliopsida; Fabales; Fabaceae
Exons: 2
Source: RefSeq, a predicted model, not a curated record